This 233-nucleotide ribosomal RNA is filed under the name uncultured bacterium. RNAcentral's name for it is "partial 16S ribosomal RNA". It matches the Rfam family "Bacterial small subunit ribosomal RNA", at positions 524 to 755 of the family's 1533-position model. The record is from RNAcentral.
UACAGAGGGUGCGAGCGUUGUCCGGAAUCACUGGGCGUAAAGGGUGCGUAGGCGGCGCGGUAAGUCGGGUGUGAAAUCUCGGAGCUUAACUCCGAAACUGCAUUCGAUACUGCCGUGCUUGAGGACUGGAGAGGAGACUGGAAUUUACGGUGUAGCGGUGAAAUGCGUAGAUAUCGUAAGGAAGACCAGUGGCGAAGGCGGGUCUCUGGACAGUUCCUGACGCUGAGGCAACG